This is a long non-coding RNA of Erigeron canadensis, 328 nucleotides long. RefSeq lists it as uncharacterized. The record is from RefSeq and is a predicted model, not a curated record. The transcript is spliced from 3 exons. NCBI's taxonomy places the organism in Eukaryota, Viridiplantae, Streptophyta, Magnoliopsida, Asterales, Asteraceae.
CUUUUAUUGCUUGUGAGAUCUUCCCUUGUCAAAUCAUUAUCAUUCUCAAAUCCUUGGUUGAGAAUGAGGAGUUGAUGAACAUGCUUUUAUCCUUUCUUGAACCAGACCACCCUCAUAAUGCUUUAUUGGCUUGCUAUUUCAGAAAAGGGAGAUGCAGAUACAGCCAAGCACCCGGACAUAUUUUGUUGUUUCUGUAGAUUAUUAGAUAUAGUAUGAAACGAUUGAUAUUGUAUUAUUAUUUAAGUUUACAAAUUUGAGUACCAAUCGAAAGUUAUUCUCUAUUCAUUUGUUCACUUUGUUAUGAUAGCACUUCAGUUUAUUGCUUUAU